GGGGAAUCUUGCGCAAUGGUCGAAAGACUGACGCAGCGACGCCGCGUGGGGGAGGAAGGUCUUCGGAUCGUAAACCCCUGUCACCGGGGAAGAACUCCUGGGGGGAGGAAAUGCCUCUCAGGUUGACGGUACCCGGGGAGGAAGCACCGGCUAACUACGUGCCAGCAGCCGCGGUAAUACGUAGGGUGCAAGCGUUGCCCGGAUUUAUUGGGCGUAAAGGGCGCGCAGGCGGUUCGGCACGUCCGUUGUGAAAUCGCCCGGCUCAACUGGGCGGGGUCAGCGGAUACGGUCGAACUUGAGCAAGCUAGGGGGCAAUGGAAUUCCCGGUGUAGUGGUGGAAUGCGUAGAUAUCGGGAGGAACACCAGUGGCGAAGGCGGUUGCCUGGAGCUUUGCUGACGCUGAGGCGCGAAAGCGUGGGGAGCGAUC
Molecule: ribosomal RNA, 427 nt
Filed under: uncultured bacterium
Lineage: Bacteria
Description: bacterial SSU rRNA
Rfam family: Bacterial small subunit ribosomal RNA
Source: RNAcentral